GACCCACGGUUGCUCUUAACCCUGGAACUCCGAGGGAGUCACCCGGGAAGCUCUGCAAAGUUCUGUGCCGGGCCCUACCCCAGACUUUCUGAUUUAAUUCUUGUGGAGUGAGGCCCAGCAUUGGCAGCCAUGGUGUAACAUAAUGAUUACUAACUGGCUUGGCAUCAGACAAACCUGCAUCUGAAUCUUGGUUCUAUCACUUCCUGACUGCAUAAUUUUGUGCCAGCUCUCCCAGGAUGAGUUCUGCUGCACAAGAAGACCAAAGCUUCAUACUUGUGCCUAUUUGAAUUCUACCGUUUGGGGAUAUGCUUUGUUCUUUUGUUGAAACCAGGAGAAACUGAAUGAACACUGCAGCAAAAAAGAGGGUCCAUUUGAAGGGUAUAGAGACCUGAUAAAGGAAGACUGGACCUUUUACAAGGGCAGCUCCAGGGAUCUAAGCAGCAGAAGGGCUAAGAUACUACCAUUCAAGCACUGAAGACCAGCUGACUUCUGCUGCUGGAUUUUUUUCUACUCCAGAUUUAAAUUAUCAGACAAGAGGGAUACCAAUUGACCUGCCUUGGGUCAAGUGCCUAUCCUUUGGUAGGGAUAGAGAAUUCGGCAUCUCUAUCAGAACCACAUGGAAGUGAGGAUGGUAAAGAUAGACAGAAAAAAGAUAGAAGAUAGAAGAGAAAAACACUUCUGUCAACUCCUAAAAUUAACUGCUGUGUUCUGGAAUUUUGCAUGUGUGUCACGAAGGCUUAUUUUUGGACCUUCUUUCUGUCUUGGGACCCAGUUUUUAGAUUCAGCAAUCUUGUGUGAUUGGUCUUGAUUUUGGUUCUGGACUAUGCUUUGCAACCCUGCUUAUCCCACAGUUUUAGGAAAAGCAAAUAUACUGCUACUCUGCUCACGCUGUUGUGGGUUAGUCUUUAGCAAAGGCGGUCAAAGGCACUCCCAUCUCUUAGCUCCAUAAUGGACAAGUUGAGCAGAAACAGACUCAGCAGAGAUAGGGGAAACUUUGCCUAAGAUGCUACAGAUGGUUAGAGGCAGGUUCAGGACUAGAACUCAGGUAUACUGAUUUCCCAUCCAGUGCUCUUUCCUUCUGUAGUAAUUAUUUCCAGUCCAACAUUUGAGAGCUAACCAGAAAAGGAGAAUAGAGUUACUGCCAGAACAUCAGCACAUUCAGAAGAGUUUGAAAGCGUGUGCCUUUUUGUGUGCAGAGAUUGUGAUUUGAACACAUUAAAAAUUAGAAAUAGAAUGUCAGCAGUCGUGUCCUGCUGGUAUUGUAAAAAAUCUUAAGAAGAUGGAUGGUAGUUUUGAAAUAGAAGAUUUAAAGAACUUUGUACUUUGCACUUUUCCACACAUGUGACAGGUGGGAAAGGAAAAGUGGCAGGAGGAAGACUGUCACGCAUUCAGAGACAAGUUUCACACAGCCGGCUUUGGAGGUGAGCCAGAUUACUGGACUGCAGCUCUAUUAUGAGGUGUCACUUUCUCUAAACCCAUAACAAUGCCUUUCACUUUGGGAGUGGGCGCUGUAGCUGGCUCUCACAUUUACCAUUGACUGCUCCACUACCCGCAACACACCCUAUUUUGGAAUCUCCUUCAUUUGGAAACAGGGAGUGGCACAGGGAAGGCCCACAUAUGACCUCCCUGUUUUUAAUAACCCCAUC
This is a long non-coding RNA of Pongo pygmaeus (Bornean orangutan), 1646 nucleotides long. RefSeq lists it as uncharacterized. The record is from RefSeq and is a predicted model, not a curated record. Lineage: Eukaryota; Metazoa; Chordata; Mammalia; Primates; Hominidae. The transcript has 3 exons.